Molecule: ribosomal RNA, 497 nt
Filed under: uncultured bacterium
Lineage: Bacteria
Description: partial 16S ribosomal RNA
Rfam family: Bacterial small subunit ribosomal RNA
Source: RNAcentral
GAUGAACGCUGGCGGCGUGCCUAACACAUGCAAGUCGAGCGAACGGACGAGAAGCUUGUUGCUCUGACGUUAGCGGCGGACGGGAGAGUAACACGUGGAUAACCUACCUAUAAGACUGGGAUAACUACGGGAAACCGGAGCUAAUACCGGAGAAUAUUUUGAACCGCAUGGGUCAAAAGUGAAAGACGGUCUUGCUGUCAGUUAUAGCUGGAUCCGGGCUGCAUUAGAUGGUUGGUAAGGUAACGGCUUACCAAGGCAACGAGGCAUAGGCGACCUGUGAGGCGGAUCGGCCACCUGAGAGGUGAGCCGCGCUCCAGACGACUACGGUACGCAGCAGUAGGGUAUGUUCGGCAAUGGUCGAAAGCCUGACGGAGCGACGCCGAGUGAGUGGUAAAGAUCUUGCGAUCGUGAUACUCUGUUAUGAGGGAAAAACAUAUGUGUAAGUAACUGUGGACAGCUUGACGGUACCUGAUCAGAAAGCAACGGCUAACUACGUG